GAUGAACGCUAGCGGCAGGCCUAACACAUGCAAGUCGAGGGGCAGCACAGAAACAGCAAUGUUUUGGUGGCGACCGGCGGACGGGUGCGUAACGCGUAUGCAACCUACCUUUAACAGGGGGAUAACGGAGAGAAAUUUCCACUAAUACCCCAUAACAUCGAUCAAGGCAUCUUGAUUGGUUGAAAACUCCGGUGGUUAAAGAUGGGCAUGCGUUGUAUUAGGUAGUUGGGGAGGUAAUGGCUCACCAAGCCUACGAUACAUAGGGGGACUGGGAGGUUAGCCCCCCCCACUGGUACUGAGCCACGGACCAGACUCCUACGGGAGGCAGCAGUGAGGAAUAUUGGUCAAUGGGGGCAACCUUGAACCAGCCAUGCCGCGUGCAGGAAGACGGCUCUAUGAGUUGUAAACUGCUUUUAAACAGGGAUAAAGCACAGUAUGUAUACUGUGUUGAAGGUACUGUAAGAAUAAGGAUCGGCUAACUCCGUGCCAGCAGCCGCCGUAA
This 502-nucleotide ribosomal RNA is filed under the name uncultured bacterium. Its description in RNAcentral is "partial 16S ribosomal RNA". It matches the Rfam family "Bacterial small subunit ribosomal RNA", at positions 28 to 523 of the family's 1533-position model. The record is from RNAcentral.